RNAcentral lists this small RNA (588 nucleotides) under Pongo abelii (Sumatran orangutan). Its description in RNAcentral is "processed transcript". The record is from RNAcentral. Lineage: Eukaryota; Metazoa; Chordata; Mammalia; Primates; Hominidae.
UAGGGGUUCCUAAACCAAAAGAAUCUACAACUGGGUUGUUGAAAGCCAGAAGGAUUCUCUCUGAAAAUUUUGGAAGCAUCCAUGUGUACUUUGGAGAUCCUGUGUCACUUCGAUCUUUGGCAGCUGGGAGGAUGAGUCGGAGCUCAUAUAACUUGGUUCCAAGAUACAUUCCUCAGAAACAGUCUGAGGACAUGCAUGCCUUUGUCACUGAAGUUGCCUACAAAAUGGAGCUUCUGCAGAUUGAAAACAUGGUUUUGAGCCCCUGGACCCUAAUAGUUGCUGUUCUGCUUCAGAACCGGCCAUCCAUGGACUUUGAUGCUCUGGUGGAAAAGACUUUAUGGCUAAAAGGCUUAACCCAGGCAUUUGGAGGGUUUCUCAUUUGGCCUGGUAUGUAGAUUACCCACAUUCCUAAGCAUGUUCAUAUCUCAAGCUUUUUAUGAUCAUUUCACAUAAAAUAUUAUUCAAUUGAGCAAGCUGAGACAAGGCAAGUUGGUCAAGAAUGAAUGUGAUCAAGUCCAGGAGGAAGCCAUACCUCUCACUUGUCCCUGCCUUGAAGCAGUAGCAGAACUUGCCACCCAACUUGAGCAG